CAAGCAUUGCCUUAUACCCUUCGUGUUACCUGCACAGAUCUGCAUGCAGAGAUUGAAGAUAAAGCUGACAGGACAACUUCUUUAGCCACCUGGCUUCACUAUCAGACAAAAGGGUCUAUUCUUCAUUUUCAAAUUAUUCAAAGAAUUUCUUGGAAUCUCUGCCAAUAUUCUCAAAGAAAUUAUGUGAGCAAGGAAGGUGGAAAAUAACCUGUUCGUUCCAGCUGCUGUCCUGGAAUACUGUGUCUGGUGGCUGUUUCAUUCUCAGACCUUGAAGAUCCACCCUGACCAUGCUGAGAUUUGGGCAGCACCUGAUCAAGCCCUCGGUGGUGUUCCUGAGGACAGAGCUGUGCUUUGCUCUGGUGAACCGCAGGCCGGUGGUGCCAGGCCGUAUCCUUUCCAUGGUGCUGCUCCCUAGGAAAGGCAGCACACUAUCAGGACACUUGGAAAGCCAGUUCCAACUUUCAGCCGGAAAAACACUCAUGGCUACUGUUCCUCUUGUGGAGUCGUGAACUGAUUUGUG
This is a long non-coding RNA of Serinus canaria (Common canary), 520 nucleotides long. Lineage: Eukaryota; Metazoa; Chordata; Aves; Passeriformes; Fringillidae. The record is from Ensembl.